CCGGCGAAAUCCGACGGUAGAGCUCGUUCAGUGAGUCUUUCCUUGCCCUUCCAAAUACAUGGUGGGCUGGCAGUGGUGUUGUCGAGUGAAACGAAGAAACUGACAGAUUUCGGAAACCCAAACGAGUAACUAAUCGAGCAAAAUUCAUUUCUUGAAACAAUGGCACCAAGAAAUGAAGAAAAUUUCCAGUUCAAAGAGAGAGAAGAUCGAGGAUAGGACACGGGUUUUGAGACCAGAGUACAUAGGGUUUAAAGAAGAUAAUGGGUUCUAGUAUUUG
RNAcentral lists this unclassified non-coding RNA (277 nucleotides) under Hevea brasiliensis (rubber tree). The record is from RNAcentral. Lineage: Eukaryota; Viridiplantae; Streptophyta; Magnoliopsida; Malpighiales; Euphorbiaceae.